UCUAGUUGAAAAUGGCCGCUUAAAAGUUAUCGUUAAAAUGUGUGUUGAGAUAAUGUGUCACUUUACAAUGGAAUCCUUCGAAAUUAUUGAAGAAUCAAAGCAAAAUAUUGUAUCUGAAGUAACAAGAUUUAUCGAAAAUUCAUUGUUAAGAUAUAGAAAGUGUAGUACAGUGAAAAAUCAGUUGUCAUAUUGCAAACAAAAUAUCCUACGUGAUUAUAAUUGUCACAGCUGUGGAGGCUAUCUUUGUUCUAAACAAAGGAGAUCUAUGAGAAUUGAGAGAGGUUAUAGAGGAAUAUCAGUGUGUUGAAUAAUUAUUUUUGCUUCCU
Molecule: long non-coding RNA, 326 nt
Organism: Eufriesea mexicana
Lineage: Eukaryota; Metazoa; Arthropoda; Insecta; Hymenoptera; Apidae
Exons: 3
Source: RefSeq, a predicted model, not a curated record